UAUUGGGACAAUGGGCGAAAGCCUGAUCCAGCAAUGCCGCGUGAGUGAUGAAGGCCCUAGGGUUGUAAGGCUUUUUUACCCGGGAAGAUAAUGACUGUACCGGGAGAAUAAGCCCCGGCUAACUCCGUGCCAGCAGCCGCGGUAAUACGGAGGGGGCUAGCGUUGUUCGGAAUUACUGGGCGUAAAGCGCACGUAGGCGGCUUUGUAAGUCAGAGGUGAAAGCCUGGAGCUCAACUCCAGAACUGCCUUUGAGACUGCAUCGCUUGAAUCCAGGAGAGGUCAAUGGAAUUCCGAGUGUAGAGGUAAAUUGGUAGAUAUUGGGAAGAACACCAGUGGCGAAGGGGGCUGACGGACUGGUAUACGCUGAGUCAGACC
This 375-nucleotide ribosomal RNA is filed under the name uncultured bacterium. RNAcentral's name for it is "bacterial SSU rRNA". It matches the Rfam family "Bacterial small subunit ribosomal RNA", at positions 359 to 754 of the family's 1533-position model. The record is from RNAcentral.